UAUUAACAGCAUUCCAAAAGGAAGAGCCAGGCAUGCCUCCUCUUUAGCAGGCAGAGCACAAAACAGACUAUGACACCAAAGAGAACACAAUUCUGGCACUGGAAAGGGUAAAAUAGUAACAAGCCAUCUGAACCUUGAUGGUUUCUAGAAUCUACCAGCAAAUAUUUUGCUAUGAAAGUAGGUUACCAUGGUGGACAUUCUGUGAGGAACAAUGGCCAUGCCAACAGUUGUCUUGUCCUUGCUGAGGGGAGGAAAAUUAACACUGCUAGAAGCGGAGGUUGGCUCCGUCGUGCUCGCCACCAGAGCUUCUCUUCCACUGGGACCAAGCACUGAGAAUACAUGUUUUGUACAAAUUUGGUCACUUUUUGGGGUGAUCUGAGGGCUGAGGGGGUUAGCAGGACCCUCUGCUGCUGGAGUCCUCCACACAUGACAGCUGGAUCGUCGCUUUGCCAUUACAGGGCACAGGGAGGGCAAGUGCUGCUGAAUGGAUCGAGAUGGACCUCGCAGGUCUGGGUCUUGGUUUUGCUGAUUCAUGGAUCAGAAGGCCAUAGGAAGUCAUUACAGAGAUUCAGCCUCACCUGUUAAGGAGGACUGGCUGUAGCACUUCCCACUCUCGUUUACUUUUAAAUGAAAUGGAACAUAUAUACUUUUAGGAAAAAAUAAAACACCGGAGCUAAGUUAAAAACUAGUUACUGCUGGGAAGGUGCUGAUGCUGUAAGGCCUGAACAGGGCACUGGCAGAGAAGUGCCAGGAUGCAUAAUCCAUGGAGGCGCGUGCAGUCCUGGUAGCCAGGAUCCCACACCCCCAGUCCUCCUGAGCCCAGAAGUAGGUUUGAGUCCAUUGGUCAGGAGGAGGGAUUUGGUUUAUCACUCUGAUAACUUUUGCCACCGAAGCUGGGCUCUGGUCUGAAAUAUU
This is a long non-coding RNA of Pezoporus occidentalis (night parrot), 915 nucleotides long. RefSeq lists it as uncharacterized. The record is from RefSeq and is a predicted model, not a curated record. The transcript is spliced from 3 exons. Lineage: Eukaryota; Metazoa; Chordata; Aves; Psittaciformes; Psittacidae.